UGCGAACACUCUGGAGAGACCGGUUGAAUCCGGCGCCGAAGGGGCACGAAGCGCAGCCAUCGCGCUUCCAAACUCUCAGGCAAAAGGACAGAGGGGCGCCC
Molecule: non-coding RNA, 101 nt
Organism: Rhodanobacter sp. Soil772
Lineage: Bacteria; Pseudomonadati; Pseudomonadota; Gammaproteobacteria; Lysobacterales; Rhodanobacteraceae
Source: Rfam